CGGCGCUUCCGGGCCCCCGUGGCCGCCACGGCCUGGCCGGCCUGGGAUGACAAUACUUGAGGAAUCCUCGCUGGUGCUGCCCUCCUGCCCUCUGCUUGGAACCCCUCCCCUAAGUGUCAGUGAGUGGACGUAUAUAUUUGGAUCAAUCGAGUUGCACCCUUUGCCUCCCAGAUCAGUUCCUCCGGCCUCCCUGGCUGAGCAGAAGGACAGCUCUGGACACUUGUGUCAGCACCCAGCCCACGUGUCCCUGCCACAGCUUCAUAUAAGAGAAAGGAUAACAAACAGCACUUCCCCAUGGCAGAUGCUUCACAGUCCAAGACUCGGGGCCUUGAAUGGUGAGUCACAAACUUUGCAAAACGCGUGGGCCAUGACAGCCCCAGAGGCCAACAGCAGGUCCACGGCCGAGCCACAGGAGUCCUGUGGCACAGGAGUCAGGGCCCAAGGAGCACACGUUUCAGAUAGGCCAGGGUGGUGGCGUUGGCCAGCAUCUCGAUGUGCUCGCUGCCUGGCAGCUCCUGCAGCAACACUUGGUGCUCCUGGCGGCUCUGCCAGGCCUGGCACUGCAGGGCACUCUUCAAGUUCACAGUACCAUCGCCGUCACCAAAGCAGAUUUUAGGGUCACGGUCAGGGAAGCUCUCAUAGUAGAAGGAGUCUGGUGUGGGGACGCCAGUACCAUAGAGGCAGUGCAGCUGCACGCCAGGUGGCAUCGUGGCUUCCACCAGCCCUUCUGUGUCCUGCCGCAUGAGCCAGCCAUCUUCAAAGCCGAUGUCCUGGAAGAACUUGCGGUAGUCCCGCAGUGUGUAGUUGAUUGUGGGUGUCUGCACGAACACCUUCUCAGGUGACCAUGUGUAGUUGUAGGGCAGCAGCCAGCUGGUGGAGACAGCUGACCGCUGCUGCUCCCGGAUCUUCAGGGGCCCGAUGACUGGGAUCCGGUUGUUGUCUCC
RNAcentral lists this long non-coding RNA (944 nucleotides) under Homo sapiens (human). RNAcentral's name for it is "non-protein coding lnc-ESRP2-4:5". The record is from RNAcentral. Lineage: Eukaryota; Metazoa; Chordata; Mammalia; Primates; Hominidae.